AGGGCGUACGGUGGAUGCCUAGGCACUUGGAACUGAAGAAGGACGCAACAAACGGCGAAACGCGACGGGGAGUGGUACGUACACAAAGAUCCGUCGAUAUCCGAAUGGGGAAACCCGGCAGCAGUAAUGAGCUGUCACCCAUGAGUGAAUACAUAGCUCAUGAGGGAGGUACCCGGAGAACUGAAACAUCUAAGUAUCCGGAGGAAAAGAAAAUAAGAAUGAUUCCGUAAGUAGCGGCGAGCGAACGCGGAGGAGCCCAAACCAGAUCUUGAUCUGGGGUUGUAGGACCACGAAAUGGCAAGAGCAUGGCUAAGAGAACGGCAUUGAAAGGCCGACCGGAGAGGGUGCAAGUCCCGUAACUGAAAGUCUAGCGAAGCCUAGUGGUAUCCUGAGUACGGCGAGACACGAGAAAUCUUGUCGGAAGCAGGCGGGACCAUCCGUCAAGGCUAAAUAUACCCAAGUGACCGAUAGUGAACCAGUACCGUGAGGGAAAGGUGAAAAGAACCGCGGGAGCGGAGUGAAAUAGAACCUGAAACCGUAUGCUUACAAGAAGUCAGAGCCCGUUAAAGGGUGAUGGCGUGCCUUUUGUAGAAUGAACCGGCGAGUUACGUUAUCGUGCGAGGUUAAGUAGAAGAUACGGAGCCGAAGCGAAAGCGAGUCUUAAUAGGGCGACAGUACGAUGAUGUAGACCCGAAACCGUGUGAUCUAGCCAUGACCAGGUUGAAGUUCAGGUGAAACUGAAUGGAGGACCGAACCGACCCCCGUUGAAAAGUUGGCGGAUGAGUUGUGGCUAGGGGAGAAAUUCCAAUCGAACACGGAUAUAGCUGGUUCUCCCCGAAAUAGCUUUAGGGCUAGCGUCGAGGUAGAGUCGCAUGGAGGUAGAGCACUGAAUGUACGAUGGCCCCAUCCCGGGGUACUGAGUAUAAUCAAACUCCGAAUGCCAUGCAGACAUACUCGGCAGUCAGACUGUGGGUGAUAAGGUCCAUGGUCAAAAGGGAAACAGCCCAGACCGCCAGUUAAGGUCCCAAAAUGUAUGCUAAGUGGAAAAGGAUGUGGGGAUGCACAGACAACUAGGAGGUUGGCUCAGAAGCAGCCAUCCUUCAAAGAGUGCGUAACAGCUCACUAGUCGAGUGACCCUGCGCCGAAAAUGUACCGGGGCUAAGCAUACUACCGAAGCUGCGGAUUUGCAGUGAUGCAAGUGGUAGGGGAGCGUUGCAUGCACGUAGAAGCCGUACCGUAAGGAGCGGUGGAGAGCAUGGAAGAGAGAAUGCCGGUGUGAGUAGCGAGAUGUAGGUGAGAAUCCUACACACCGAUAGCCCAAGGAUUCCAGGGGAAGGUUCGUCCGCCCUGGGUAAGUCGGGACCUAACGCGAGGCCGAAAGGCGUAGUGGAUGGAAAACAGGCAGAUAUUCCUGUACCCGCGAUGGAAAUGAAGGAAUGACGGAGAAGGCUAGUGUGAGCCACUGAAUGGAUUGUGGUCGAAGCAUAUAGCAGGCUGACAGUGAAAUGCGUCAGCGGGAUGUAAGAUGUGACAGGUAAGGGAACGUCCUCGGACAAGUACUGAAGCACAUGAUGCCAGCUUCCAAGAAAAGUUUCUAGUGAUAAUUCCAUAGCGGCCCGUACCAAAACCGACACAGGUGGGCAAGGAGAGAAUCCUGAGGUGAGCGAGAGAACUGUUGCCAAGGAACUCGGCAAAAUGACUCCGUAAGUUAGCGAUAAGGAGUGCUCUUGUAAAAGAGAGCCGCAGUGAAGAGGCCCAAGCGACUGUUUAACUAAAACACAGCUCUCUGCAAAGUCGCAAGACGAAGUAUAGGGGGUGACGCCUGCCCGGUGCUGGAAGGUUAAGAGGAUUUGUCAUCCGCAAGGAGAAGCAAUGAAUUGAAGCCCCAGUGAACGGCGGCCGUAACUAUAACGGUCCUAAGGUAGCGAAAUUCCUUGUCAGGUAAGUUCUGACCCGCACGAAAGGCGUAACGAUUUGGGCGCUGUCUCGGCAGCAGACUCGGUGAAAUCUUAGUACCUGUGAAAAUGCAGGUUACCCGCAACUAGACGGAAAGACCCCAUGGAGCUUUACUGUAGCCUGAUAUUGAAUUUUGAUCAAAGAUGUACAGGAUAGGUGGGAGGCGAAGAAGAUUGCACGCCAGUGUAGUCAGAGCCGCUGUUGGGAUACCACUCUUGUUUGAUUGAAGUUCUAACCUGCACCCAUGAACUGGGUGAGGGACCGUGUCAGGUGGGCAGUUUGACUGGGGCGGUCGCCUCCUAAAGAGUAACGGAGGCGCCCAAAGGU
This 2283-nucleotide ribosomal RNA is filed under the name human gut metagenome. RNAcentral's name for it is "bacterial LSU rRNA". It matches the Rfam family "Bacterial large subunit ribosomal RNA", at positions 14 to 2317 of the family's 2925-position model. The record is from RNAcentral.